AGCACUUGUGUGUGUGUCUUUGUUUAAUUUGUAACAAAGCCUUACAGACAGGUGCAAACAGUAAAUCCUCUUUUGCAACCCAGAACUCAUCACUGAUAUGAGAUUUUGGUACAUGUAAGAAGUGAUAUG
Molecule: small nucleolar RNA, 129 nt
Organism: Dipodomys ordii (Ord's kangaroo rat)
Lineage: Eukaryota; Metazoa; Chordata; Mammalia; Rodentia; Heteromyidae
Source: Ensembl